CUUAUGGCGUGCUUCUUGUUAGUUUCUGCUAGUUCCAAAUGAAAUCCAAUAAUCCAUAGUUAUUUCAUGCUGCUGCUGAAUGAAAUGAAAGUCCUUGCUAUGAGAUGGAAGAAACAUAAAAGUAUGGGAAUUCAAAGGAAACAAACCUUCGAGGUCACCGCAUGAGAUGAAUAAAGAAGAAUAGUAAUCCCUCAUUCAGUGCCUCCAGCACCACCUCUUCGCUUAUUGGUACCCAAUAUUUUCCUCUUCAUCUUCGUGUGUGCUGGUN
RNAcentral lists this long non-coding RNA (268 nucleotides) under Lotus japonicus. Its description in RNAcentral is "long non-coding RNA (LJAP_LNC000537)". Lineage: Eukaryota; Viridiplantae; Streptophyta; Magnoliopsida; Fabales; Fabaceae. The record is from RNAcentral.